This 304-nucleotide long non-coding RNA is filed under the name Corvus moneduloides (New Caledonian crow). RNAcentral's name for it is "lncRNA (ENSCMUG00000017031.1)". Lineage: Eukaryota; Metazoa; Chordata; Aves; Passeriformes; Corvidae. The record is from RNAcentral.
CCGCUGGCCACGCCCCCAGCUCCCACGGCGACGCGCCGGGAAUCGGUGACGGGCGGGGGCCGUGAGGGGACGGGCGAUGUACAGGGACAGCUGAGUGGGGACAGGGGUCCUAAUUACUCUGGAGGAUGGAGCUCCCAAGACCAUUCCCACCUCUGACCAACAACACCUAAACUGUGCUUUGGAGCCAGCUCCAUCUGGGAUGGAUCCAGUUCUUCAGGUUAACAGCUGCACAUCCGAGGCUGCUAAACGUCAGAGGCUAACACUGAUUUUCUGUGGUCUCUUUGCUUUGGAAUGUAAUACAAAG